GAUGAACGCUAGCUACAGGCUUAACACAUGCAAGUCGAGGGACCCGCGCACGGGUGAGUAACACGUAUCCCACCUCCCCUUUCCUCGAGGAUAGCCUUUCGCAAAAACGAUUUACACCCGAUAUAAAGGAAGGGGAUGCGUUCCAUUAGGUUGUUGGUGAGGUAACGGCACACCAAGCCUUCGAUGGAUAGUGGUUCUGAGAGGAAGGUACCCCACGUUGGAACUGAGACACGGUCCAAGCUCGGACGCGAGGGAGCAGUAAGGAAUAUUGGUCAAUGGGCGCUAGCGUGAACCAGCCGAGUAGCGGGAAGGAGGAAGGCUUAUUGGUGGUAAGCUUCUGUUAUAUAAGAAUAGGUAUUAAAUGAAUAAGGAUCGGCUAACUCCGUGCCAGCAGCCGCGGUAAUUC
This 406-nucleotide ribosomal RNA is filed under the name uncultured bacterium. RNAcentral's name for it is "partial 16S ribosomal RNA". It matches the Rfam family "Bacterial small subunit ribosomal RNA", at positions 28 to 526 of the family's 1533-position model. The record is from RNAcentral.